Molecule: ribosomal RNA, 259 nt
Filed under: uncultured bacterium
Lineage: Bacteria
Description: partial 16S ribosomal RNA
Rfam family: Bacterial small subunit ribosomal RNA
Source: RNAcentral
UACGUAGGGUGCAAGCGUUGUCCGGAAUUAUUGGGCGUAAAGAGCUCGUAGGCGGUUCGUCGCGUCGGCUGUGAAAACCCGGAGCUCAACUCCGGGCCUGCAGUCGAUACGGGCGGACUCGAGUUCGGCAGGGGAGACUGGAAUUCCUGGUGUAGCGGUGAAAUGCGCAGAUAUCAGGAGGAACACCGGUGGCGAAGGCGGGUCUCUGGGCCGAUACUGACGCUGAGGAGCGAAAGCGUGGGGAGCGAACAGGAUUAGA